This is a long non-coding RNA of Capra hircus (goat), 1308 nucleotides long. RefSeq lists it as uncharacterized. The transcript is spliced from 4 exons. Lineage: Eukaryota; Metazoa; Chordata; Mammalia; Artiodactyla; Bovidae. The record is from RefSeq and is a predicted model, not a curated record.
GACUGCUUCUAAUUUUGUAUUCUUAGGGUUCAGGCACCAUAGAAGAAGUCUGAUUAUCCUGAGACUACCAGACUUUUAAGAAAGCCCAAGGGAGCCACUUGAAGAUGACGUAUGAAGGAAGAUCAAAGUGCUCUGAUUGACAGCCCCACAAGAAAUCCCAGCCUUUAGGCAGCUCCAACUGCCACCAUCUGGGACAUUCCAAAUCAGUUGAGCCUUCAGUGAGCCCUCUUGGACAUUCCAGACCAGUUGAGCCUCCAGAUGACUGCAGCCACAGCUCAUACCACAUAAGGAAGGAACUACCCAGGAUUAGGAAGUUCCCUACAUUUCUCAUCAAGAACAGUGAUGCCAGAGUAGUCCAUCUGGUGUGUCCGGCUGCAGGCUGGUACCUAGAACCUGAAGCAAGCUGGGGAGAUCCCUAAGGACAGAAUUUAAAGCCACACUCUGAAAAUACCAGAGCAGGUGGAAACAGCAUGUUCUUCACUGAGUCCUUAGUUCUGCUUAACUGUGACCUCUUUGGUCCUCAACCCCAGACUCAACCGGAAGAAGGAAAUGACUAUUUCUAUUGGCAGAAAUAAUAAUAUGGAUAAUUUCGAGUAUUAUUUUAACUGUGUUCUGGUAUUUCCAUGGUUUUCUUCACUGAAGUGCAAGGAAGAUCUAAACGCUUCAGCAUGGUUUGGGAGACCUUCUGGCUUCCAUCCUGUUAAUCAUGCAGCUUUCAGUCUGCAAGCUUGAGAUGAGGGAUCCCACCACUGGAACUUUAGCUGUUCUGAUACAGGCUUGCUGGUGGUAUCUUCUCCUGUGCUGCCUUCUGGGGAGAGACUGGUACCUCCUGCCGACAUGCUGAAUUGCCCUCUGAGGACAAGGAGGUGCUCACAGGCCUUGCUACCUCAUAGGUGGGUACAUGUUGGAAGCACUUGCCCUGGCCAUGCUGGUUCUGCUUCCUCCUGGAUUCAUGAAGGCUGCUCCUGCCAGUGCUGGGCUGAUCUGCCCCGAGUGUGAAGACUUGGUGGAUGCCACGUCAUAGCACCUGCCACGGCUGCUGUCACUGCUGCCUUCCCUGCCCCUGCUGCCAUCCUUCUGCCAAGUAUUGCAGGUUGUGUGAUGGCAAGAGUAUGUGCUCCUGUAAGACUGCUAGGAGGACUCUUGGGUUCCUCGCUCCGCAUUAGGCAUAACCAGAAGAGAUGACUUUAAAUAGCUCAGAGAUGAUGUGAAGUCAACCUGAUGCUGACCUGAUCUUGAUGUUCUUCUCCGUAGAUAUUCAUGACCUGUGCUGAGGGGGAAGAAACAAAUAGAGAAGAAAAUGAGUGA